GCCGGGCCUGUAGUCCCACCUACUUGGGAGGCUGAGGCAGGACGAUCGCUUGAGCCCAGGAGUUCUGGGCUGCAGUGCGCUAUGCCGAUCGCGUGUCCGUACUAAGUUCAGCACCAUAUGGUGACCUCCUGGGAGUGGGGGACCACCAGGUUGCCUAAGGAGGGGUGAACUGGCCCAGGUCAGAAACGGAGCAGGUCAAAACUCCCAUGCUGAUCAAAAGCAGUUCUUCUCAAACUCGUAUAGGAACCCCCAGGUGAUCUUGUUAAAUGUGUUUUCUGACUGA
This 283-nucleotide signal recognition particle RNA is filed under the name Ursus americanus (American black bear). RNAcentral's name for it is "Metazoan signal recognition particle RNA (ENSUAMG00000027029.1)". It matches the Rfam family "Metazoan signal recognition particle RNA". From Rfam's summary of the family: The signal recognition particle (SRP) is a universally conserved ribonucleoprotein. It is involved in the co-translational targeting of proteins to membranes. The eukaryotic SRP consists of a 300-nucleotide 7S RNA and six proteins: SRPs 72, 68, 54, 19, 14, and 9. Lineage: Eukaryota; Metazoa; Chordata; Mammalia; Carnivora; Ursidae. The record is from RNAcentral.